UACGUAUGGGGCAAGCGUUACCCGGAUUUACUGGGUGUAAAGGGCGUGUAGGCGGGACUGCAAGUCAGAUGUGAAAACCACGGGCUCAACCUGUGGCCUGCAUUUGAAACUGUAGUUCUUGAGUACUGGAGAGGCAGACGGAAUUCCUAGUGUAGCGGUGAAAUGCGUAGAUAUUAGGAGGAACACCAGUGGCGAAGGCGGUCUGCUGGACAGCAACUGACGCUGAGGCGCGAAAGCGUGGGGAGCAAACAGG
This 253-nucleotide ribosomal RNA is filed under the name uncultured bacterium. RNAcentral describes it as "partial 16S ribosomal RNA". It matches the Rfam family "Bacterial small subunit ribosomal RNA", at positions 524 to 776 of the family's 1533-position model. The record is from RNAcentral.